Molecule: ribosomal RNA, 305 nt
Filed under: uncultured bacterium
Lineage: Bacteria
Description: bacterial SSU rRNA
Rfam family: Bacterial small subunit ribosomal RNA
Source: RNAcentral
UUUGCCUACGGGAGGCAGCAGUGAGGAAUAUUGGUCAAUGGGCGGGAGCCUGAACCAGCCGAGUCGCGUGAGGGAAGACGGUCCUAUGGAUUGUAAACCUCUUUUGUCGGGGAGCAAAGAGAUCACGUGUGGUCAAAAGCGAGAGUACCCGAAGAAAAAGCAUCGGCUAACUCCGUGCCAGCAGCCGCGGUAAUACGGAGGAUGCGAGCGUUAUCCGGAUUUAUUGGGUUUAAAGGGUGCGUAGGCGGGACGGGAAGUCAGCGGUAAAAAUGCGGAGCUCAACUCCGUCGAGCCGUUGCAACUGC